UGAAACCCCAUGAGCCAGAAAUCGUAGAGGAUGAACCUAUUCUUUAUAACACAAGAAAUAGUUCAAAUGUCAAGAAAAUAAAAUGCAACAAAAGUGACUUUCUGUCAUGUGUCAAAGAUAUUUUACUGUUUGAGAAAACUAUCUGAUUGAUCAUAGUAUAAAAGGAAGAAAAGCCAAUGCAAAGUCAAGCCAGUAUUAGAUAGGCC
RNAcentral lists this long non-coding RNA (206 nucleotides) under Mytilus galloprovincialis (Mediterranean mussel). The record is from RNAcentral. Lineage: Eukaryota; Metazoa; Mollusca; Bivalvia; Mytilida; Mytilidae.